UGCUGAGAAGGAAAACAAGGGGGGGAUGCUAAGAUGGGAGAGACACUGUGAGGUCGGGGUACUGCUGCAAAAUAAGGGCACAGAUCAAAGAGAGGAAACCAGAGAGGGAGAAUAUGUUGGCAUCAUCGUGGAUAGACUUGUUUACUGUUAUGGUAGCAUCCAGGACAUUCUGAAUUGGUGAGUCUGCAGCUCUAGGCCAUCUAAUGGCCACUUCAACCUUAAUUUCAAGGCUUUGGUGCUGUGAGGACCUCCAAGGGAAGCCAAGGAUGUGGAGCAGUGACUUCAAUCCUCAGCCAUCAUUUAUGUUAUCAGUCAUCCUCAAAUCCCAGCACAAACAACACUACAGGGGCAGAAGCACAGCCGAUGCCAACGCUGCACUCUUGGCAGCAGGACAACUUCAUUGAAGUGCCAGGCAGGAUCCCCCAUUGUAUAAAUCAAUGCAUUUUAUCACAAACCUGGGCCUUCUGGUAAUAAACUAAACAAGAGCUGCUGCUUUCCUCAUGGAUGUAAUCAGCAAACAGGUAAUGAGCAUUGGUAAGAGGCCUUAAAUCCUUGGACAGAAGGCAUCCAGGAUCUAAAAAAGUAUGAUCACAGCUAUUCCAAAUGAAAGUCUCCUGGUGUGUUAACUUUUCUAUCUCUGUUAUCACUCAUCUAAUUCUUUAGCAGUGUAGUAGUACUGAAGACAAAGAUGGUCUUGAAUAAAACUGUACAAUUUAUAUGAGAUUGUAUCAUUCGACUUCAAGGUAUUAUUGCAAAGAGUCCAUCACUUGGCCUGAGGCACUGAGUACUCCUAUUCUACAGCAAGGACGUUGGGGGAGCGCGUCUCAUCAGGGAAGCCUGCAGGGGAUUUCCAUUCCUCACAAGCUCACAUGCUCAGGAUUUAACUAGAGCAUCUCUUUCAGCUUCUGAGGACACAGAUUCAUCUUCGUCUUUGAAGGGAAGAUGAUAGAGUGAUUAUAAUGCUGUCUUUCAUAUGUGAGGUGGGAGAACCAGCUACACAGGGAUGGUUUCCACUACAGAGAAGAGGUUAUAUUUACUGAGUAUUUAGUGGGUCUGAGAAAUGUUGGCUAAAAAAAAUCACUGUAAAGGUUAGAGACAAAAAAAAUCCUUUUUCAGGCUUUUUGGACUUGUCUUUGUGUAGUAGCACAGACAUGAAGAAGAUAACACUGAGAGAUGAUUCACCUUGCUUGCUCUGGUGAGAGUGAAUCCGCAGCUACUUACACCCAAUGCAAGAAAAAAGGAAAAAAAUAUUGAUCCAGAGUUCCCACAUCUAUGAUCUACAUCCUUGUGUUUCCCCUAAAGAAAAUUUAUGGCUCCCCAUCAGCAGUAAAUCAGAGGACUGACUUUCCUGCUCCUUCUCAGACAGAUGCUCUGUUGUACAACAUGAGAGAAAGUCCCCAAAGUGUGGAGGAUAUGAAGGUUUAACACAUGGGCAGGUCUGGAUAACAGUUCAGAGCAAGAAGAAGAAAGACAGAUCAGCUGCCAGCCUGGUGGAAAAUAGCAAGCUUUUCAUUACGUUUAAUGCAUCUGCUAACUGUAGUUCUAUAGAACACUACUGUAUAAAUAGAUGGUUAUUUAUACCAAUAUUUAUAAAUAUAUGUAUAAAUACAACUUUGUAAAUAUAUAUUUAUUAAACUAAAUAAAUACAUAUUUAUAAAGGGAUAUUUAAUGCAUUUAAUAAACAUACAGAUCUUGCUGCCCUGCUGGAGGAUAAAACAAGGUGAAGAGAAUUGGAAGUCAGCCUUGGCAAAAAAUAACCUUAGAUUGACACCUUCUUCCUAAUGGAUUGCAAAGCUCUGUUUUACUCUAAUUUACACACUGGUGAGAGAUUUGGUCGUGAUGUGCAGCAGCCUCUGAGAUG
This is a long non-coding RNA of Gallus gallus (chicken), 1861 nucleotides long. RefSeq lists it as uncharacterized. The transcript is spliced from 5 exons. The record is from RefSeq and is a predicted model, not a curated record. NCBI's taxonomy places the organism in Eukaryota, Metazoa, Chordata, Aves, Galliformes, Phasianidae.